RNAcentral lists this ribosomal RNA (814 nucleotides) under Klebsiella pneumoniae. RNAcentral's name for it is "partial 23S ribosomal RNA". It matches the Rfam family "Bacterial large subunit ribosomal RNA", at positions 371 to 1191 of the family's 2925-position model. Lineage: Bacteria; Pseudomonadati; Pseudomonadota; Gammaproteobacteria; Enterobacterales; Enterobacteriaceae. The record is from RNAcentral.
UCCCGUACACCAAAAUGCACAGGCUGUGAACUCGAAGAGUAGGGCGGGACACGUGGUAUCCUGUCUGAAUAUGGGGGGACCAUCCUCCAAGGCUAAAUACUCCUGACUGACCGAUAGUGAACCAGUACCGUGAGGGAAAGGCGAAAAGAACCCCGGCGAGGGGAGUGAAAAAGAACCUGAAACCGUGUACGUACAAGCAGUGGGAGCACCUUCGGGUGUGACUGCGUACCUUUUGUAUAAUGGGUCAGCGACUUAUAUUCUGUAGCAAGGUUAACCGUAUAGGGGAGCCGCAGGGAAACCGAGUCUUAACUGGGCGUUAAGUUGCAGGGUAUAGACCCGAAACCCGGUGAUCUAGCCAUGGGCAGGUUGAAGGUUGGGUAACACUAACUGGAGGACCGAACCGACUAAUGUUGAAAAAUUAGCGGAUGACUUGUGGCUGGGGGUGAAAGGCCAAUCAAACCGGGAGAUAGCUGGUUCUCCCCGAAAGCUAUUUAGGUAGCGCCUCGUGAAUUCAUCUUCGGGGGUAGAGCACUGUUUCGGCUAGGGGGUCAUCCCGACUUACCAACCCGAUGCAAACUACGAAUACCGAAGAAUGUUAUCACGGGAGACACACGGCGGGUGCUAACGUCCGUCGUGAAGAGGGAAACAACCCAGACCGCCAGCUAAGGUCCCAAAGUCAUGGUUAAGUGGGAAACGAUGUGGGAAGGCACAGACAGCCAGGAUGUUGGCUUAGAAGCAGCCAUCAUUUAAAGAAAGCGUAAUAGCUCACUGGUCGAGUCGGCCUGCGCGGAAGAUGUAACGGGGCUAAACCAUG